GCCCAGACUCCUACGGGAGGCAGCAGUGGGGGAUAUUGCACAAUGGGGGGAACCCUGAUGCAGCGACGCCGCGUGGGUGAAGAAGCGCCUCGGCGCGUAAGGCCCUGUCAGCAGGGAAGAAAAUGACGGUACCUGAAGAAGAAGCCCCGGCUAACUACGUGCCAGCAGCCGCGGUAAUACGUAGGGGGCAAGCGUUAUCCGGAUUUACUGGGUGUAAAGGGGGCGCAGACGGCGAUGCAAGCCAGGAGUGAAAGCCCGGGGCCCAACCCCGGGACUGCUCUUGGAACUGCGUGGCUGGAGUGCAGGAGGGGCAGGCGGAAUGCGCGGUGUAGCGGUGAAAUGCAUAGAUAUCGCGCAGAACCCCGAUUGCGAAGGCAGCGUGCCGGGCCGCCACUGACGCUGAGGCACGAAAGCGCGGGGAUCGAACAGGAUUAGAUACCCCUGUA
This 446-nucleotide ribosomal RNA is filed under the name uncultured bacterium. Its description in RNAcentral is "partial 16S ribosomal RNA". It matches the Rfam family "Bacterial small subunit ribosomal RNA", at positions 329 to 792 of the family's 1533-position model. The record is from RNAcentral.